UACGUAGGGUGCGAGCGUUAAUCGGAAUUACUGGGCGUAAAGCGCGCGCAGGCGGUUUUCCAAGUCAGUGGUGAAAGCCCGGAGCUCAACUCCGUAACUGCCAUUGAAACUGUUAAACUCGAGGACGAGAGAGGUGAGUGGAAUUCCCAGUGUAGAGGUGAAAUUCGUAGAUAUUGGGAAGAACACCAGUGGCGAAGGCGGCUCACUGGCUCGUAUCUGACGCUCAGGCGCGAUAGCGUGGGGAUCAAACAGG
This 253-nucleotide ribosomal RNA is filed under the name uncultured bacterium. RNAcentral describes it as "partial 16S ribosomal RNA". It matches the Rfam family "Bacterial small subunit ribosomal RNA", at positions 524 to 776 of the family's 1533-position model. The record is from RNAcentral.